GUUAACCUCACGUUUCAGGAAGAUACAAACGAGGAAGAGAAAUUCCCUUAAGAGAUUCCAUUCAGGAAGACAGGAAAUUAUGUCUGUCGAAAUUAAUCGUCAGCGCGUUAACACGUAGUCGAGAAGGAUAAGGCGCGCGAAACGCAGGAGUGCGAGGUGAAAAGCGUCGAAGAAGGACGAAGCAAAGUGAAACACAGGAGGCAGAAGGAUACGCUUAGCAUUUUACAGACGAAACGUGCUCGCCAGACCGACGAUCGACAAGCAAAAAGCGAAGAGGAGGUCGCGGGUGCGAGUGUUAAGGAUCGUAUCGGGGCCAACGACGAAAAAGGGGAGUUGAAUGCUCGCUUUCGUCGCGUCACGGCGCCAUUCGACGUCGCCAUGCUGUGUAUGUAUGCAAUCGUCGUCGUCGCUCGUGAAGACAAUUUAUUCUCACGGUUUCGCGCGCAAUUUGCCACGGGCACGUGUAACGAGGAUAACGAGAAUCAUCGAAUGAAAAGCCAACGUCGUGGCUGCAAAUUGCGUUUCACGCGACAUUUGCUAUAACGCCUGCCGCGAAUAUUUCUAGCGGGCCCGCGGCCCUCGUGGCAUCGCUCCCGACCGUUCGAUCUUCUUCGACACCGAGGCAAUCGACUAUUCGGUAAGAGAUAUUCGAUACGCUGUUUAACUCGUCGCCUUCGCGAUCCUGUUGCUUCUCUUACGCGUCAACUUCGUUUCUCAUAUUAUCGCGAAUUAUUUGAAGAAUCGUUUCGAAGAAUCGCUAAAUGUUCAUGUUUAAAUCGUUUAAACGUUAGUCGGGGAAUCGCACGUAUUAGAUAUUGCGUUAGAUUUUUACGACACGACAUAAAUAGUAACUCGUAAAAUCUUUAAUCUGUUUGAAUAACGCAAUUAAAUUUGUAAUUAGCUUUUAAUUAAAUUUUUUUAAUCGAUCAUCAUCAUUUGCGCUGUACUGUAGAGGAACAAUUAGCUCGAACAUUCCCAACAGCAGAAGGUUAUUUUACUCGGUAUUCUUAGCAAAGUAAAGCGCGGUUGGUUAAAAAAAGGGAACGAGGGAACGAUUAAUGCUCGCGCCAAGUUUUUAUUGCGGGAAUUCAAUUUCCAAAAUAAACAUUUGCAAAGAGAACAACUGUUGACAAGUCCAUUCUCGUGCGAAUUUCAACAUUUACGGUGAAUGUCCCUCGACAUUUUGCCUCAUAUAUUUCCACGUCCACCGUUUUCAUCGGUAACGAUCGAUACCGGCUAUUUUUCCUGCUAUUCCAGUCAACUGCACUACACAACGUGUGAAAAAUGAAUUAAAGCUCCG
Molecule: unclassified non-coding RNA, 1300 nt
Filed under: Bombus terrestris (buff-tailed bumblebee)
Lineage: Eukaryota; Metazoa; Arthropoda; Insecta; Hymenoptera; Apidae
Description: misc RNA ENSBTSG00005029524.1
Source: RNAcentral